Ovis aries (sheep) is the source of this 72-nucleotide non-coding RNA. Lineage: Eukaryota; Metazoa; Chordata; Mammalia; Artiodactyla; Bovidae. The record is from Rfam.
UCUCUGAUAGCUAAGUUGGUAAAGAAUCUGUCUGCAAUGCAGGAGACCUUGGUUAAAUUCCUGGGUCAGGAA